Molecule: ribosomal RNA, 490 nt
Filed under: uncultured bacterium
Lineage: Bacteria
Description: partial 16S ribosomal RNA
Rfam family: Bacterial small subunit ribosomal RNA
Source: RNAcentral
AUUGAACGCUGGCGGCAGGCUUAACACAUGCAAGUCGAACGGUAACAUAAAGGAGCUUGCUUCUUUGAUGACGAGUGGCGGACGGGUGAGUAAUGCUUGGGAAUCUAGCUUAUGGAGGGGGAUAACUACGGGAAACUGUAGCUAAUACCGCGUAGAAUCGGGAGAUGAAAGUGUGGGACCUUCGGGCCACAUGCCAUAGGAUGAGCCCAAGUGGGAUUAGGUAGUUGGUGAGGUAAAGGCUCACCAAGCCGACGAUCUCUAGCUGGUCUGAGAGGAUGACCAGCCACACUGGGACUGAGGCACGGCCCAGACUCCUACGGGAGGCAGCAGUGGGGAAUAUUGCGCAAUGGGGGCAACCCUGACGCAGCCAUGCCGCGUGAAUGAAGAAGGCCUUCGGGUUGUAAAGUUCUUUCGGUAGCGAGGAAGGCAUUUAGUUUAAUAGACUAGGUGAUUGACGUUAACUACAGAAGAAGCACCGGCUAACUCCGUU